RNAcentral lists this ribosomal RNA (301 nucleotides) under uncultured bacterium. Its description in RNAcentral is "partial 16S ribosomal RNA". It matches the Rfam family "Bacterial small subunit ribosomal RNA", at positions 509 to 807 of the family's 1533-position model. The record is from RNAcentral.
CAGUAGCCACGGGAAUACAGAGGGUGCGAGCGUUAAUCGGAUUUACUGGGCGUAAAGCGCGCGUAGGCGGCUUCUUAAGUCGGAUGUGAAAUCCCUGAGCUUAACUUAGGAAUUGCAUUCGAUACUGGGAAGCUAGAGUAUGGGAGAGGAUGGUAGAAUUCCAGGUGUAGCGGUGAAAUGCGUAGAGAUCUGGAGGAAUACCGAUGGCGAAGGCAGCCAUCUGGCCUAAUACUGACGCUGAGGUACGAAAGCGUGGGGAGCAAACAGGAUUAGAUACCUCCGUAGUCCCUGUCUCUUAUAC